UACAGAGGUCUCGAGCGUUAAUCGGAAUCACUGGGCUUAAAGGGUGCGUAGGCGGCGCUGUAAGUGCCUUGUGAAAUCCCAUGGCUCAACCAUGGAAUUGCUCGGUAGACUGCAGUGCUUGAGGUCGGUAGGGGUCGCCGGAACUCUAGGUGGAGCGGUGAAAUGCGUAGAUAUCUAGAGGAACGCCAAAGGUGAAGACAGGCGACUGGGCCGAUUCUGACGCUGAGGCACGAAAGCGUGGGGAGCGAACGGG
This 253-nucleotide ribosomal RNA is filed under the name uncultured Phycisphaera sp. RNAcentral describes it as "partial 16S ribosomal RNA". It matches the Rfam family "Bacterial small subunit ribosomal RNA", at positions 524 to 776 of the family's 1533-position model. The record is from RNAcentral. Lineage: Bacteria; Pseudomonadati; Planctomycetota; Phycisphaerae; Phycisphaerales; Phycisphaeraceae.